Molecule: ribosomal RNA, 253 nt
Filed under: uncultured bacterium
Lineage: Bacteria
Description: partial 16S ribosomal RNA
Rfam family: Bacterial small subunit ribosomal RNA
Source: RNAcentral
UACGUAGGGGGCAAGCGUUGUCCGGAUUUAUUGGGCGUAAAGAGCGUGUAGGCGGCCUUACAGGUCAGCUGUGAAAACUCGAGGCUCAACCUCGAGACGUCGGUUGAAACCGUAAGGCUAGAGUCCGGAAGAGGAGAGUGGAAUUCCCGGUGUAGCGGUGAAAUUCGUAGAUAUUGGGAGGAACACCAGUGGCGUAAGCGGCCAACUAGACGAUUACUGACGCUCAGGCACGAAAGUAUGGGGAGCAAACAGG